UUCUCUUACUACGGUGGCCGGGGAGCUCGAGGUGCGUGUAGCUGCGGCGCUGAGGUCGGGGCGUCUGCGUGUGUGUUGGCUGCUUUUGUGGCAGCUGCUGGUGGAGCUGGAACAUUUCCCGAACAAAAGUCUAAACUUACAGAAGAAUGCAAUCAAGUGAUGGCUUUUUCUUUAGAAUCUGAAUAUGGAGGCCACAGGAACAGAUGAAGUUGACAAGCUGAAGACUAAAUUUAUAUCUGCUUGGAACAACAUGAAAUAUAGUUGGGUGUUGAAAACAAAGACAUAUUUUAGUAGAAAUUCCCCUGUAUUAUUGCUUGGAAAGUGUUACCAUUUUAAAUAUGAAGAUGAAAAUGAACUGUUACCUGUAAGCUCAGGAUGUACAAUAGAAGAUCAUGUGAUUGCGGGAAGUGUAGAAGAAUUUCGUAAAGACUUCAUUUCAAGAAUAUGGCUUACCUACAGGGAAGAGUUUCCUCCAAUAGAAGGCUCAGCUUUGACAACGGACUGUGGUUGGGGCUGUACACUAAGAACUGGCCAGAUGCUGUUGGCUCAAGGACUCGUACUACACUUCCUUGGUAGAGCUUGGACCUGGCCUGAUGCUUUGAACGUUGAAAAUUCAGACUCUGAAUCAUGGACUUCCAACACUGUAAAAAAAUUUACUGCAUCAUUCGAAGCAUCGCUUUCAGCGGAAAGAGAGCUCAAAACCCCAACAAUUUCUCUGAAGGAAACAAUCGGGAGAUAUUCUGAUGAUCGUGAAAUGCGAAAUGAAAUUUAUCACAGGAAAAUCAUCUCUUGGUUUGGUGAUUCCCCCUUGGCUCUCUUUGGUUUACAUCAACUAAUAGAAUAUGGAAAGAAGUCUGGGAAAAAAGCUGGAGAUUGGUAUGGACCAGCUGUGGUUGCUCACAUUUUAAGAAAAGCAGUUGAAGAAGCAAGACACCCAGAUUUACAAGGAAUAACUAUUUAUGUUGCGCAAGAUUGUACAGUUUACAGUUCUGAUGUAAUUGAUAAACAGUGCACUUCCAUGGCCUCUGAUAAUACAGAUGACAAAGCUGUUAUUAUUCUAGUUCCUGUUAGACUUGGUGGAGAAAGAACCAAUGCCGACUAUUUAGAUUUUGUAAAGGGUAUUUUAAGCCUUGAAUAUUGUGUGGGUAUUGUUGGUGGCAAACCUAAACAGUCAUAUUACUUUGCUGGAUUUCAAGAUGACAGUUUGAUUUACAUGGAUCCUCAUUACUGCCAAUCUUUUGUAGAUGUCAGCAUAAAGGAUUUCCCUCUUGAGACAUUCCACUGCCCUUCUCCCAAAAAGAUGUCAUUUCGAAAAAUGGAUCCUAGCUGUACAAUAGGAUUUUACUGUCGAAAUGUUCAGGACUUCAAACGAGCUUCUGAAGAAAUCACUAAGAUGCUGAAAAUUUCUUCUAAGGAGAAAUAUCCCUUAUUUACUUUUGUAAAUGGUCAUUCCAGAGACUAUGAUUUUACAUCUACUACAGCCAAUGAAGAAGACCUUUUCUCAGAGGAUGAAAAGAAAAGAUUAAAAAGAUUUAGCACAGAAGAGUUUGUCUUGCUGUAAAGGUUAGCACAUUUGUGCUUGAUGAGAAGAAAUCCUUUGAAGGAAGCAAAAUGAAGAGAAACAAAUGAAAUCUGGACAAGUUAAGUAUGGUACUGAUUUUCGUAGAAUGCAAAAGCAGUACAGGUACAACAAGAAGCCAGUGGUAUGCCUGAUUUUAUACACUGCAGCUCCCUCGUCUAAAGUACUGCAAUUUGUUGUUCCUAUACACCUGCAGUAGUCACAGGAUUCUACAACAAACACAUCAAAUGAGAGCACCAUAUCUUCAAACAAAUCAGAACUGACUGUAAGUGUUCUCUUACAAGGACUAUAUACAAGCUUAGAAUUACAGAAUAGCAUUCUGUUAUUUUCACAGCAUAUUUGGGGAUGAGACAAAAUUACACCUGGACAAAGUUGAGGUGAGAGGAGGGAGAAACUUCCUUUACAUUGCAUUAUAUUGAAAAUACUCAGAAUAUUGCACAGACAAGACAGAUCUUACAAUACAAUCAUCCCCAUGACUGAGAAUAAAUGGUUAGGAUCAGAAAUUAUUAGAAUAAUAUGCAUAUAAAAAGUAUUCAACAAUAUGUAUGAAUGAAUGCAUGCAUUCAUGAAAAUUGAGAGAUAGGCUGAUGGAUUUAUCUUGCCUAUUAAUAAUAAAAAAAUCAGCUUCAGCCAAGGACCAGCCAAAAGUUGUGCUAAUAUUUUACUGGAAAGACAGCAACAAAACUACAUCAUUAGAUUUAGAAUAGAGUUUCAGACUUUGUUUUGAACACAGAUUUCAUUUAAAGUUCUGACAGCCAGUAAACUCAGUCAAUAAAGCUAUUGGAUGAUCUCUUUCAGCCUGGAAUAAAAGAAAGUAAAAAGAGACAAGAUUCUGAAGUGGAUGUUCUGUUAGAAUUAUGAUAGGAGGAUCCUCCAUUUGGACAUAAAUAUUAAGAUACUAGAUUUUACCAUUAACGUAUCAGAAAUGAAUUUAAAAAAUUUUUGAUGUGACUUUUUGGUGGCAAAGUUUUCUUUUCUCUCUUCUUCAUAAAAUUUGACACUUUGAAUCCCCUUUUGUCAAUGUAUUAACCACCAGCAGGCAAUCUUGAGAGUCAUCAUUUGGUGAAUGACUGAAUGAAAAGAUCCUUUAUAGUGUAAGUCUAUGCAAAAGAAUUUCCCAGAGGUAUCCAUUUUUCUGUUUUUACGUUAAACCAACCCCAUUGAAUUUGUAUUAGUGAGAAGACAACAUUAGAAGAUUAAAAAUUCUGUUAACCUUAGGAUUUAGCAUUGUCCAAGGGCAAACAUAUCUAAAAAUAUAUAUGUUAAUGUCAUCUUAUUUUUAGGAGAAUGGAAACAAAAUACAUGUUUGUAUUAGGUAGAAAAAUUAUUGUGCUACCCUCUAACCAAUUCCGCCAGAAAUUUAGAAACUCAGUUUUCCCCUAUUUUAAGUCAAUAGUCCAGAUACCACUGUCAUUCAAGAAUGAAUCCCCAAAAAAUUCUACAGAGAAUUAUCUUUCAUUUAUAAUGUUAUUGAAAAUUAAAUUAAUAAGUAUAAAUAUAAUACUUAUAUUUUAUACUAAGACAAUAUAAUAAGAAUUGGGAAUUCAUGGGUUUUAAAAGAAGUUAUUUUAUAAGCAGGAAAGGUAAAGAGAGGAAAGUUAGAAGUCCAAUAGAAGUCUGAUAACAAAAGGAUGAGAGAAUUAUUGACAGCAAGUUUUGAGUGUGUCUAGGCAAAUACACCAUAUCAAACUGACACAGGUAAAAAGUAUGAAUUUAAAAGGCUUGAAGGCUGGGAUGAUUUAAAAUUUUUUUAAAAAAUAUUUAAUUUAUUACUUUCUUUUUUUUGUCUGCGUUGGGUCUUAGUUGUGGCACGUGGGAUCUUUUGUUGAGGUGCAUGGGCCUCUCUCCAGUUGUGGUGCACAGGCUUCUCUUUAGUUGUGGCAUGCGGGCUCCAGGGUUUGUGAGCUCCGGAGCAAGUGGGCUCUGUAGUUUGUGGCACACGGGCUCUCUUGUUGAGGCAUGCAAGCCCAGUAGUUGUGGUGCACGGGCUUAUUUGCCCUGCGGCAUGUGGGAUCUUAGUUCCCCGACCAGGGAUCGAACUCACGUCCCCUGCAUUGGAAGGCAGAUUCUUUACCACUGGACCACCACGGAAGUCCCUGGGAUGAUUUAAAAUUUGAUGUAGGCAUUGGAAGAAAGUAAAUACUGACUGAUACCAAAAGGUAGAUAUGUGGCUACCAUGUUGCACAACUCCAGGGGGGCACUGUUUUCAGUGUAAUGUGAAUGGCACUCCUGGAGUUGUACAAUGUGGCAUCCUUGUAGCUACUUGCUAUUUAUACAGCACUGUUCUGAUCAAUUCAGUUGUAUCAAAUUAUAGCUAAUGAAUCUAAGAUGGGGAAUUAGAUCUGGGAUUAAGGAGACAAUUAAGGAGUCCUGAGACUUGGAUGAUCCUAUAAUGGAGCAGGUCAGGAGAGUCCAUAGUUAGGACUCUAUCUAGUAAGUUAUCAGGGAGUUUUAAUGGAGAGGUACACAUACAUAUUUAAGUUAUUUCCAAGUUACUUUAACUAGAUAUCAUAGAAAAAAAAUCCACCCUACACUUCUGCUACCUCAAUAUAGUAUUUUCACUUGUCUAUAUUGUCUUCUAUUUUGUGUUUAAUAGGUUGAAUUUUGAUUCUUAUUUUUAAAAUUUAACUGCAUUCUAUUUGAUGGAGAGAGCCACCACUUAUUGUGUAAUGACAUUGUCUCUCUGACUUGCAUGGUAGUCUUUCCUGUGUCUUGUAUCUGGUUCCUAAACCUGAUUCACUGUGCUUGGCCAGUUUUGUGGCUACCAGCCCAUGUCUAGAGAGAGAGACCUAGAGAGAGACUCUUAUUUUUGUACAUAGUGUGUUCCUGUAAACACUUAAAACAGCUGAAUGUGAAGGAACUGAGCCAUAGAUGCUUUCAAACAAUAUUUUAAGGAAGGUUCUGUCCCAGAGAGUGUAAAAUAUUAUGGAAAUAUUAAAAACAUUAUAAAAUUAUUUUAAUCAUAUAGUCUUGACAUAAUCUUAGAGUUCUAGCAUUUCAUAGAUGUUCUUUAUUUUGUUCUUUUAUAGUCAAACAUACAGUUGAUUGACUUAAAGUCCAGUGAGCAUUUCAUUGAGGCUGAUGAUUAUUUCUAUCUUUAUAUUAAUUAUAUGAAGUUUGAGACCUACAUUUCUUACCCAUCUCUAAUGCCUGAAUUCACAUCUCUAUCUGCUGCAAGUCAUCAUUUAUCACAGAUGGUAACAUUGAGGCAAGACUUGGAUAUGACCUGGAAUGAAGGGAAAACUGAAUAGUACCACAGGUGGUGUAGCCCACAAAUUGGAAGACAUCUUAUACUUUAAUGACAACAAAAAUAAAGUUAUUUCAACUGUGGGAAAUUUGGGAUUUAAGGGAGAUGAGAAAAGGGAGCUUAGGGAUAGUUUCUAGUCACAUAUCUGCAUGAGGAUUUCAGAGGCUGAACUUUGCUGUCCUGGUUUUUCUCCUCCCUCACUGCUCCUUCUAAAGUUCCCCCUCAUCUCUCUGAUCUGUAAAUGUUGGGGUGCCCUAGAGCUUAGUCCUCAGUCUUUUUUCUUCUCUUCUAUGUUUAUACCCCUUGAUGAUUUCUUCCAGUUUCAUGACCUUAAAUACCGUCUAUAUGGUGCCUACUUCCAAAUGUAUAACUCCAGCUUGACUCUCUCCCUUAACUAGCUGCUUUACAUCUCCAGUUGGAUAUCUAGUAGGUAUCUCAAAUGCAAUACAAUCAAAGUUAAACCCCUGAUCUCUCCUCCCCAUCCGGCACCCCCCACCCCCACCCCCCGGCCCCAAGAAAAAGCUGCAUUCUUGACAGUCUUCUGUCUCAGUAAAGGGCAGUUCUAGCUACUCAGUUGCUCAGGCCAAAACCCAUGAAGUCACCCCUGAUUCCUCUUUCUCUCUUUGUCAUGCCUUGUAUCAAUUCCAUCAACAAAUCCUGUCAUCUCUACUUAAAUAUACGUCUAGAAACCAGCCUCUCCUCAGCACUCCACUGCUACCAUCCUGUUCCAAGCCCCUGUCAUUUCUCACCUGGAUUAUUGCAAUAGCUUCUCUACUUAAGUUCUUGUCCGUCUAUAGUCUAUUCUCAACAUAGCAAACAGAACGAUCUUUUAAAAAUCAUGUCAGGGACUUCCCUGGUGGUCCAGUGGCUAAGGCUCCAUGCUCCCAAUGCAGGGGGCACAGAUUGAAUCCCUGGUCAGGGAACUAGAUCCCACAUGCCACAACUAAGAGUUUGCAUGCCACAACUAAAGAUUCUGCAUGCCGCAACUAAACAAACAAACAAAAACAUGUCAGAACCCUCAAAUGGGGUCCCAGUCACUCAAUAUGGAAACCAGAGUCCUCAUAAUGACUAACACGGUCCUUCAUGUUCUGGUCCCCAGUUACCCCGCUGACCUUGUCUCCUCCAGCUCUGUCCAUCGCUCACUCUUCCUCAGCCACAUGGCCUCCUUGUCCCUCAAACAUGCCGGGUAGGCUCCUGCCUUAGGUCUCUGUACUUGGUUUGCCCUUUGCCUAGAACUCCCUUCCCCAAGAUAUUCUCAUGGCUUGUUUCCUUACCACUUUUAGGUAUUUGCAUGCAUAUCACCUUGUCACCAGUAUCUUCUCUGACCACCUCAUUGAUGACUGCACCCCCAUCACUGCCACAUCCACAUCAGGCUCUUUGUAUUUCUCUUCUGUUUUACCUUUCUCCAUAGCACUUGUCACCAUCUGGCAUUCUAUGUUUUAUUUGUUUGUUUAUGUGUCUUCCCCUGUAGAAUGUAAAUUCCUAGGGACCGGGGGGGGGGGGGUUUGUAUGUUUUGUUUGCUUUUGGAUUCCUAGCACCUGGUAUAGUGCCUAUAAUAUAUUAGACUUCAAUAAAUAUUUGUUGAAUGCAUAAAAGAAGGGCUUAGGGUAGUUCAUAGCACAUAAUGAGCACUCAAUAGAUGUUAACUAUUAUUUUAAAAGCUGUCAUUGUGCAUAGUAUAGGAUAACUAUAAGCCAAGAGUCUACUUACACGUAUUAAUGGCCCUAUAACUCUGUAUGGUAAAGCUCCGCUAGUAUUUCACUUUAGCCUCCAAAUAUCUCUUCUGGAAUAUACCAGUGCUUAGCACCAUGCCUUGUACACUCUCAGUAACUGUUUGAUAAAAUGAGUGGUUCCGUUUCUGCCUUGAGAAUAUCGUCUUUAGAAGGCCAAGACUAGAAACCCAGUGUUCUUUGGGACCAGCUUCCUGAUUAAAUCUUUUCAAAACAAAAGCAGUAAGGGUAGCAGAAAUUUACAGGUUAGAAUUUCCCCUUCUUCCAUUCUAAGACUAAAUUCUUAGCCCUGGGUCCUUUUUACUUAACUUAAAAUUACUGGGCAAUUUCAAUAGUUUCACUUUGUUUUUCAUUGUAGAGCUUGGUGUCCAUGUGUAUUAUAAUACAAAGUCCAAUAUCAUAGCAAAUGAUAGACAUGUUCAUGAAGAUCCCUCUGUCAGGUCAGCUCAACAAAUAUGGAGAUCUACUUACACUGAACUAAGUGCAAGGAAGUUGUAGAUGAAUAUUACUUGGUUCCACCUUUGAGGAGCCUAAGAACAGUGGAGAAGACAGACACAUAAGUAAUUGUAUUUCAAUACAGCGUAAUAAAUGCUGCAAGAGGACCAUGUGCAGAGGUGUAGAGGUAGCAAAUAGGAAGGAAUGAUUAACUUUUGUAGAUGGGGUGAGUUGGGGAGGAGAUUAAAAGAAGGCUUCUUAAAGGUUAUACCCAAGCAAAGCUUUUAUGUAUGAAAAAGUGUAAACAUGAGUUAUGGUGAGUAGGGUGGGGGCUGGAGAGGAAGAAGGCAUCUCAGAAAGAGGGAACAGUGUGCGCAGGCGCAAAGAUGCAUAACAGUAUAGUAUGCUCAGAAAAGUCACAAAUAGUUUGGUAUUAUUGAAGCAGAAGGUGUGAGUGUGUGUGUGUGUGUGUGUGUGUGUGUGGUGUAGGGGGUGGUGGCAUGCGUGGGAAGUCACAGAAUAUGAGGCUGCAGGGCUUUCCAUUCAACAUUAAGAGCUCCCAUGUGGUCAGUGGGGAGCUAUUCAAAACAGAAGCCAAGUUCUCAAAACUACUCUUCUUGCGCUACAGAGGGUGUAUUGAAGGAGAUAAGAGGGGAGGUAAGGAGUCUACUCAGGAGUCUAUUGAAAAAGUCCCAAGGUAAGCUGAUGAUGGCCUGAACUAAGGCAGUGUUACUGGGGAUGGAGAAGAAGAAAGGACUUUUGAGACAUUCUUCAGAGACUCAGGCAAAACACAUUUGGUUGAUUGCAUUUAGGGGGCACGAGGAAGACAAACACCUACUUGCUUCAUAAAAAUACAUUUCUUAUUUCCAGAUUCUAAAUAAGUUGGAGCAUUAGCAUUUGCUGAGAAGGGGAGUUCUGAGACAGAAGCUAUGGCAGGCCUCUGCACCCCACAGGUGCACAGAACAGCUGGGUUCCUCUGGGGUUUCGUCUCCAGAAGGAAAUUGUUGGUUUCCAAGGCAAAGAACCCUAACCUGGUCUCUAAGAGCUGGAGGGAGUCUCAGAGGUCAUUUAGUCGAAGCUUCUACCUAAUGCAGGAACCAUUUCUGUAGUAUCCUGGACAUAAGCUCAUCCAGCCUCAGCUUGAAAUCCACUCCCAGAGAUGGGGAUUUUGCCACUUCUUAAGGCAGCGCCUUCUACCUUUGAACAGUUCUGUUAGAAAGUUCUGCUUUACACUGAGCCAAAAUUGGCCUUCUCAUCUUUGGUUCUGGUUAUAUCCCAUAAUGCCACACAAGUGUGAUUUGUUUUCAAGAAGAAGUCUUACUCAGAAAUUAAAGAUGACUUUUGGAUCCCCACGCGGUUUCCUUAGUUCCAGUUGCUCCUUGUGGGACGUGGUUUCUGGACCCCUUACAUCUUGUUUGUGCUUCUGGAGACAAGCAUGAAAUGUCAGGGAUCCUCUUCAGAAGCAGCACCAACAACCCAUCAUAAUACAGUGGGCCCGCUCCUGCGAUGUGGAGCCCGCAGAUGUGGAGAGCCAGCUGCACUACACUAUUUUAUAUGAGAUAUUUGAGCAUCCACAGAUUUUAGUAGCUGCGUGGGGUCCUGCAGUUAAUCCCCCGCAGAUACCAAGGGAUGACUGUACUACCCACAAGAGCCCAGUGGUCCGGACAUGCGUUUUCAUCAAUGUAGCCUGAGGUUCGUAGGGGUUUUUUAGCAGCCAAAUCAUUAGCACCUGCUGAGUUUCCGGUCGCCAAAACCCCUGAGCUAACCCUGUCAGCCCUAUUCAGUUCAACUGAUUUUUAGAAUCUACGUGCAGGACUUACAUAUGUUCCUGUGAAACUUCACCUUCUUGGGUUUGUAGACGCAGAGUUUGUCUGUGAUGAGAGUUUACUGAUUCAAGACUCAAAACAAUCAUAUUAACCCCACUUUUAGUUUGAUAAGUGUUCCUGGAGGUUAACCUCUAAUUGCAUCUCCCCUUCACCUUCGUCUGAGGCUUAUAUUCCUUUCUUGUCUCAACAUUUUCCUGAUCCCAGAGCAGCUCAGGAACUUUAACUGACAGUUCUACUGCAGCAGCUGUUGUAGCUCCACACGUGUUGCCCCUUAGCCUCUGUUGUUGCUGCCACUGCCCUGCUGUCACUCCUGGUGAGAGCCGCCAACUUGGGUGUAUCUUUGGAGUUUGUCACUCCGCUGUGCACUGCUCAUUCCCACAUUGUUGGUGACAUUGUUAUCAUCCAUUUUGCUUCUAGUCACGCUAGUUCUUCCUCUGCUCCAGCAGGCCCUGCACUCAGACGGGGAAGACCUCCACCCACAAGCAUCACACUUCUUUAAUUAUAUGCCACAGAGGAAGGCAUACUUUCUAUGUGUGUGUGAGUGUGUGUAUGUGUUUUAAUACCCCCCAUCAGUGUUACACACCCUAUUUAUUUCACCCUACCUUUAGGUUGUUGACAGGCUCCCUACCUCAUCCCAGGAUUCCUUCAGGGCUGAGACAGAAGACAAUUCAAGUGGUAAGCAACAGUCAUAAGCUCUGUUGAGGGCUUGGCAUAGUGUCGGAGCUCAGUGCCCAGAGUAUAUCACCCCAAAUUGUCACUUCCCACCAGUCCUCCACCAGUGCCCCUGGUUUGAACUGGUGGCCUUCCUCUAGCUAUGGAAGAUGAAUUCCAUAACCCCCUCCUUUGUUCGCCCUUUCAGAGCCCUGCACGAGGAGUUGAAGAACAACCUUUGUCCCCUAGAGUCAGGCCAAGAGUCUUUGUCUUGGAAGUGAAAAGCAGUUCCAACCUCUAUACUCUCUUUUUGGACUUUCACCUCUUCACACAAACACGGUUUGCUCUGGAGGCUCUAAUUGGCUGAAUUCUUUUUUUAAACAUCUUUAUUGGAGUAUAAUUGCUUUACAAUGGUGUGUUAGUUUCUGCUGUAUAAAGUGAAUCAG
Molecule: RNA transcript, 9915 nt
Organism: Aethalodelphis obliquidens (Pacific white-sided dolphin)
Lineage: Eukaryota; Metazoa; Chordata; Mammalia; Artiodactyla; Delphinidae
Gene: ATG4C
Gene name: autophagy related 4C cysteine peptidase
Exons: 13
Source: RefSeq, a predicted model, not a curated record